RNAcentral lists this long non-coding RNA (324 nucleotides) under Ananas comosus (pineapple). RNAcentral's name for it is "long non-coding RNA (ACOM_LNC001991)". The record is from RNAcentral. Lineage: Eukaryota; Viridiplantae; Streptophyta; Magnoliopsida; Poales; Bromeliaceae.
AAUCCUAAUUCUAAUUCGAUUCGUGUGUAACAUUUAUAUAUAAGUCCUCAUAUUAUUUACUAACGAUUAGUAAAUACACCCUGUAACUUUUACACAUAAAUACCUCUAAUUUACAACAAUUACAAAUUAAUCCUUUUACUAAUAAAUUAGUAAACUUUAGUAUUUAAUUAUAAUUGUAAUUAAUCCGUCCGAUAAACUUCUUUUAUCAUUUCCUAAAUAUCGAUCAUGCGCGAUUUCUUAUGUGUGUGACCUAAUAGGUUCAAUUUUGUCUGGUAGUGAGAUAUGAUGCGAUCCCCAUCUACAUCAUUAUCGAAACUCCUUUCG